CAUUCUUCAAAAAUGGUAAUUGUGGCCUGGUCUGAAGACCAAAACUAAGUAUUGUUCCUUUAAAAAGAUAUUGUGAGCUCUACCUGCCUGCAGGGUAAUGGGCCUCAGGGUGCCCAGUCACCGGGCCCCUACAUUGCCCCAGGAAGCCAACAUAACUAGUCGACACCCGGUCUCCUGCAAUUCAGGAAAAGACAAAAAGUGACGCUCUCUACUGGCUUGGAGGCAAGUAUAUCCAGAAUUGAAUUCUAAUGCUCUGAAAAUGUUGACAGUGAAUCCCUAUCAGUCUCUUUCCAUGUUAUAUUGUACUUGUUGAAGAGACAGCCAUUGC
Pelobates cultripes (western spadefoot toad) is the source of this 328-nucleotide non-coding RNA. Lineage: Eukaryota; Metazoa; Chordata; Amphibia; Anura; Pelobatidae. The record is from the annotation of a GenBank genome assembly.